Sander lucioperca (pikeperch) is the source of this 194-nucleotide long non-coding RNA. RefSeq lists it as uncharacterized. The transcript has 3 exons. The record is from RefSeq and is a predicted model, not a curated record. NCBI's taxonomy places the organism in Eukaryota, Metazoa, Chordata, Actinopteri, Perciformes, Percidae.
GCUGUGCUGUUAAUUGAGACUAAUGCUACGUUUACACGUGGCUGGCUAUUUUCAUAAACAGACAUUUCAACCUCUCCGUUUUCAAAAAUAACAUCGUGCAGAGCGGUCAGUUUUCAGAGAAGUGUUCGUUUACACGUACCCGUGUACAUAUGCCGUCAAGAGCACGCCAAACCUGUAGGUGGCAAUUUAACGAG